Molecule: long non-coding RNA, 403 nt
Filed under: Equus caballus (horse)
Lineage: Eukaryota; Metazoa; Chordata; Mammalia; Perissodactyla; Equidae
Description: lncRNA (ENSECAG00000057038.1)
Source: RNAcentral
GUAGGUGUUUUUCCUUUUACGGAAAUGAGGUAACUGAGGCUCAGGAGUUAGGGAACUCUGCUGAGAUUAGAACCCAGGACUCCAGAAAGUUCUUAACAUUUUACUUUGCUAGGAGAAACCUACAAGUGGAUCAGAGAUUUCGUGAAUCAGAAUCUCUGAGAUGGGUGGAGAUGAAACGGGCUUGCCUGGUGUGAAAGAUCCAGGACAUUCAGGGCUUAUUGCUUACAGAGUGCUUUCACAAGCACUGUUCAUUGGAUGCUCACAACAGUCUUGAGAGGAGUAACGUCAGCAUCAUGGUGGAGUGAGCUCUCCCAGUAAACUCUCCCCUCAACAAUACAACGAAAAGGACAUUUAUAUUCCCACAGAGGACACCCAUACAACACUAAAGAUGUGUGAGAGACCC